CCUACGGGUGGCAGCAGUGGGGAAUAUUGGACAAUGGGGGGAACCCUGAUCCAGCCAUGCCGCGUGUGUGAAGAAGGCCCUCGGGUUGUAAAGCACUUUCAGUGAGGAAGAACGCCUGGUGGUUAAUACCAUCAGGAAAGACAUCACUCACAGAAGAAGCACCGGCUAACUCCGUGACAGCAGCCGCGGUAAUACGGAGGGUGCGAGCGUUAAUCGGAAUUACUGGGCGUAAAGCGCGCGUAGGUGGCUUGAUAAGCCGGUUGUGAAAGCCCCGGGCUCAACCUGGGAACGGCAUCCGGAACUGUCAAGCUAGAGUGCAGGAGAGGAAGGUAGAAUUCCCGGUGUAGCGGUGAAAUGCGUAGAGAUCGGGAGGAAUACCAGAGGCGAAGGCGGCCUUCUGGACUGACACUGACACUGAGGUGCGAAAGCGUGGGUAGCAAACAGGAUUAGAUACCCCUGUAGUC
RNAcentral lists this ribosomal RNA (464 nucleotides) under Vreelandella stevensii. RNAcentral describes it as "partial 16S ribosomal RNA". It matches the Rfam family "Bacterial small subunit ribosomal RNA", at positions 338 to 795 of the family's 1533-position model. Lineage: Bacteria; Pseudomonadati; Pseudomonadota; Gammaproteobacteria; Oceanospirillales; Halomonadaceae. The record is from RNAcentral.